ACAAAGGCGAUGACCGGGACAGUACGGGCGGUACAUAAGCGCAGAGAGGGAGCGGCUGGUGUAAGCUCCCAUGAGGCCGCCCCGAACGCUCGCCCGGGAGCAGCCCUGCUGAACCGCAGGUUAGGCAGGGACGGUUUCCCCUCCGUUAGCGGGGCAAUGAGUGCGCGGGCGCGCCCCGCGAAGUUAGGUGGUACCACGGAGUCAUGGCGGCUUCGUCCUAUGG
Molecule: non-coding RNA, 223 nt
Filed under: Flavonifractor plautii
Lineage: Bacteria; Bacillati; Bacillota; Clostridia; Eubacteriales; Oscillospiraceae
Description: T-box sequence
Rfam family: T-box leader
About the family: Uncharged tRNA acts as the effector for transcription antitermination of genes in the T-box leader family. T-boxes are found upstream of many aminoacyl-tRNA synthetase genes and some amino acid biosynthetic genes usually in Gram-positive bacteria. The anticodon of a specific tRNA base pairs to a specifier sequence within the T-box motif, and the NCCA acceptor tail of the tRNA base pairs to a conserved bulge in the T-box antiterminator hairpin.
Source: RNAcentral